AGAUCAAUGACAAAGUAAUAGUAAAGGAAAGGAAAUUCGAAAGAGGCAGAUAUAGAUAGUACUCACAAAUUACAAGUAUAAGAAUCAGAGUAAUGGCAGUAGGUAUUAAUAAAGUUGGUUCUGGAAGAACCUAUAAGUGAGAGGUAUCUUCCAGAAAAUAACAAAAGAUAGGAAUACUAGAAAAAUGAUGAUAGGCAUAGAGGACAAAUGAAGUAUGAGAAAAGAU
RNAcentral lists this unclassified non-coding RNA (226 nucleotides) under Hevea brasiliensis (rubber tree). Lineage: Eukaryota; Viridiplantae; Streptophyta; Magnoliopsida; Malpighiales; Euphorbiaceae. The record is from RNAcentral.